Molecule: ribosomal RNA, 409 nt
Filed under: Mandarina aureola
Lineage: Eukaryota; Metazoa; Mollusca; Gastropoda; Stylommatophora; Camaenidae
Description: partial 16S ribosomal RNA
Source: RNAcentral
AGUUUUGAGCUAAAUAUAUUUAUAAUAUUAGUUAUUUAUGAAGGUGUUGUAAAAUCUUUAUUUAAAAUUAUAUUUAGGGGUGACAGGCCUUUCAAAAACUAAGAUAUCUUGAAUCUAAUUAAAAGUAUGUAGUACAAUUAACACAACUAUUAAGUGAUUAGGCUUUAUAGAAUUAUUAACUUAUAAGAUUUUAUUUACUAUAAUUUAAUAAUUAAGUACAUAAAUAUAUUAAUAUUCAUAUAUUAUAGUUUAUAAAAGAGUAAUUAGAUAGAUUUAAGUUCAUAUUUCUUAUAAUAAUGUUAAUAUUAGUAUUAAGAUUACAUUUAUAUGAUGAACUCGGCAAAAAUACUUCUCAACUGUUUAUCAAAAACAUAACUAUGUGAAUGAAUACAUAGCGGUUUCUGCUCAA